This 506-nucleotide long non-coding RNA is filed under the name Hordeum vulgare. Its description in RNAcentral is "long non-coding RNA (HVUL_LNC008162)". Lineage: Eukaryota; Viridiplantae; Streptophyta; Magnoliopsida; Poales; Poaceae. The record is from RNAcentral.
CUUACACUCACAAUGCCCAAAGUAUAUAUGUACAUGUAGGUCCUUGGUUUCAUGACCCGUAAGUUCUGAUUCCCAUUGAGAUUAUGAGCAUACAUCAUCCAUACAUUGAGGGGAGUGGAUAUUGCAUCACGUCUAGAUUUAUUUCUUAGGUGUUGAUUUACUCUUCCACAUCACGGCAAUGUUGCAGGUGCUACUUCGUUUAUUCAAUCUUGUAGAGGACGACCCGUUGGGUGUUUCAGACACCAUCUAUUUGCGGACACAUGAUGUUGCUGGAUACUUAGCAAUUAGCCUUCCACUCCUGAGUCUAUGAGUCACAAAGACCAGCAACAUCGUGGAACUGUUGUCCUAGAGACUACCAAGAACUCGACGUGGAAUAAACCAUGACUAGGGCUCCCAUGCAAACCUUGAGCAACAUAGAGAUCUCACGGUUGGCAUAUCAAAUACAACAUGUGUUUGUUUCUCAAAGAAACAUCGCCGGCAAGAGAGAUCAGGGCACGAACACAGAC